GAUGAACGCUGACCGAAUGCUUAACACAUGCAAGUCAACUUGAAUUUGGGUUUUUAACUUAGGUUUGGGUGGCGGACGGGUGAGUAACGCGUAAAGAACUUGCCUCACAGCUAGGGACAACAUUUGGAAACGAAUGCUAAUACCUAAUAUUAUGAUAAUAGGGCAUCCUAUAAUUAUGAAAGCUAUAAGCGCUGUGAGAGAGCUUUGCGUCCCAUUAGCUAGUUGGAGAGGUAACGGCUCACCAAGGCGAUGAUGGGUAGCCGGUCUGAGAGGGUGAUCGGCCACAAGGGGACUGAGACACGGCCCUUACUCCUACGGGAGGCAGCAGUGGGGAAUAUUGGACAAUGGACCGAGAGUCUGAUCCAGCAAUUCUGUGUGCACGAUGAAGUUUUUCGGAAUGUAAAGUGCUUUCAGUUGGGAAGAAACAAAUGACGGUACCAACAGAAGAAGUGACGGCUAAAUACGUG
This 467-nucleotide ribosomal RNA is filed under the name uncultured bacterium. RNAcentral describes it as "partial 16S ribosomal RNA". It matches the Rfam family "Bacterial small subunit ribosomal RNA", at positions 28 to 507 of the family's 1533-position model. The record is from RNAcentral.